This 343-nucleotide unclassified non-coding RNA is filed under the name soil metagenome. RNAcentral's name for it is "partial contains 5.8S ribosomal RNA, internal transcribed spacer 2, and large subunit ribosomal RNA". The stretch from base 1 to 120 matches the Rfam family "5.8S ribosomal RNA", at positions 35 to 154 of the family's 154-position model. The record is from RNAcentral.
GAUGAAGAACGUAGCGAAAUGCGAUAAGUAAUGCGAAUUGCAGAAUUCAGUGAAUCAUCGAAUCUUUGAACGCACAUUGCGCCCGCUAGUAUUCUGGCGGGCAUGCCUGUCCGAGCGUCAUUUCAACCCUCAAGCCCCCGGGCUUGGUGUUGGGGAUCGGCGAGCCUCCGCGCCCGCCGUCCCCUAAAUCUAGUGGCGGUCUCGCUGUAGCUUCCUCUGCGUAGUAGCACACCUCGCACUGGGAAACAGCGCGGCCACGCCGUUAAACCCCCAACUUCUGAACGUUUGACCUCGGAUCAGGUAGGAAUACCCGCUGAACUUAAGCAUAUCAAUAAGCGGAGGA